RNAcentral lists this ribosomal RNA (253 nucleotides) under uncultured bacterium. Its description in RNAcentral is "partial 16S ribosomal RNA". It matches the Rfam family "Bacterial small subunit ribosomal RNA", at positions 524 to 776 of the family's 1533-position model. The record is from RNAcentral.
UACGUAGGGUGCGAGCGUUAAUCGGAAUUACUGGGCGUAAAGCGUGCGCAGGCGGUUCGCCAAGUCAGGUGUGAAAUCCCCGGGCUUAACCUGGGAAUUGCGCUUGAAACUAGCGGGCUUGAGUGUGGCAGAGGGGGGUGGAAUUCCACGUGUAGCAGUGAAAUGCGUAGAGAUGUGGAGGAACACCGAUGGCGAAGGCAGCCCCCUGGGUCAACACUGACGCUCAUGCACGAAAGCGUGGGGAGCAGACAGG